RNAcentral lists this ribosomal RNA (500 nucleotides) under uncultured bacterium. RNAcentral describes it as "bacterial SSU rRNA". It matches the Rfam family "Bacterial small subunit ribosomal RNA", at positions 28 to 505 of the family's 1533-position model. The record is from RNAcentral.
GACGAACGCUGGCGGCGUGCUUAACACAUGCAAGUCGAACGGAGAAUUUAUUUCGGUAAAUUCUUAGUGGCGAACGGGUGAGUAACGCGUGGGCAACCUGCCCUUCAGAUGGGGACAACAUCCCGAAAGGGGUGCUAAUACCGAAUACGAUCACGCUGCCGCAUGGCGGAGUGAUGAAAGAUGGCCUCUAUUUAUAAGCUAUCGCUGAAGGAUGGGCCUGCGUCUGAUUAGCUAGUUGGUGGGGUAACGGCCUACCAAGGCGAUGAUCAGUAGCCGGUCUGAGAGGAUGAACGGCCACAUUGGGACUGAGACACGGCCCAAACUCCUACGGGAGGCAGCAGUGGGGAAUAUUCCGCAAUGGACGAAAGUCUGACGGAGCAACGCCGCGUGAGUGAUGAAGGUUUUCGGACUGUAAAGCUCUGUUGUUUAGGACGAAAGUGCCUGUUGCAAAUAGUUGCAGGUAUUGACGGUACUGAACGAGGAAGCCACGGCUAACUACG